Non-coding RNA from Coffea arabica (coffee), 746 nucleotides. Lineage: Eukaryota; Viridiplantae; Streptophyta; Magnoliopsida; Gentianales; Rubiaceae. The record is from RefSeq and is a predicted model, not a curated record.
GAUUUGACGUCAAGCGUCUUUUGUACGCAAAGGCUACAGAGCCGAAAUUCAUUUCCUUUUCUCUGCUACAAUGGCCGGCUAGACUGCAGCAAAGGAACAACCAAAGUCACCAUUUCUUUUCUUCUAAAACUCAACCAAAUUCUUACCAAAACUUCCCUAGAUUCUCACCAAACUUCACAUUCGUUUAGCUUUUCACUUGGACAACAACUUAGGCUGGAAAAGGGAGGAGUUUCACGGCUGUCUUCAGGCUUCAUAGGGACCGAAAUUUUCUGAUUUGAACAGCCAUCAAAGUAGGCACGCACGAGGACCUCCAAGAGGACCCUACUGUGGAAGUUUGAACUCUUCCUCCAAUUUACUUGCUUGCAUAACUUGGUUUGAACUCGGAGGUAAAAUGGAGAAGCCCUCUUGAUGUACUUUUGUUUAGGGCUUGUUAUUACUUUUGGUUAUGCCUUUGGUUUUGGAAUUGUACUUUCGGUAUGGAAAUGUGACCCUGAGAACUGUCACAGUUGGUAUCAGAGCCAUAUGCCGACAGUUGGGAUCUUAAGUCCUUCGUCUGGAAAAGCCCCGAGCCUCUCGUUCGUGAAGAGUCACGAAGCGAAACUCUCCGUAAGGGAUGCCCGCGUGCGGGUGGCAAGCUGAUAGGUACCCCGUGAUGUGACCCUUUGGACAAAAUGUAAUCUGUAUUCUGACGUGUGGUUUGGAGAAUGGAUGACUAUUAUUAAGUUUGAAUACUUCCGCAUUUAGUG